RNAcentral lists this ribosomal RNA (501 nucleotides) under uncultured bacterium. RNAcentral describes it as "partial 16S ribosomal RNA". It matches the Rfam family "Bacterial small subunit ribosomal RNA", at positions 30 to 523 of the family's 1533-position model. The record is from RNAcentral.
AUUGAACGCUGGCGGCAGGCUUAACACAUGCAAGUCGAGCGGGGGAAGGUAGCUUGCUACCGGACCUAGCGGCGGACGGGUGAGUAAUGCUUAGGAAUCUGCCUAUUAGUGGGGGACAACAUCUCGAAAGGGAUGCUAAUACCGCAUACGUCCUACGGGAGAAAGCAGGGGAUCUUUGGACCUUGCGCUAAUAGAUGAGCCUAAGUCGGAUUAGCUAGUUGGUGGGGUAAAGGCCUACCAAGGCGACGAUCUGUAGCGGGUCUGAGAGGAUGAGCCGCCACACUGGGACUGAGACACGGCCCAGACUCCUACGGGAGGCAGCAGUGGGGAAUAUUGGACAAUGGGGGGAACCCUGAUCCAGCCAUGCCGCGUGUGUGAAGAAGGCCUUAUGGUUGUAAAGCACUUUAAGCGAGGAGGAGGCUACUUUAGUUAAUACCUAGAGAUAGUGGACGUUACUCGCAGAAUAAGCACCGGCUAACUCUGUGCCAGCAGCCGCCGUAA